CCCCUGGUGGCGGGUUUGUUUCGGGGCAUCUACUUUUUCUGCUGGCAUACUUGCUCUGGGAAUGAUCUUCUAUGCAAAGAGUCCACAUUGGUUAUACAAGCAAGGAAGAAUUGCUGAAGCAGAAGCCACAUUUGAGAGGCUUCUGGGUGCUUCAGAAGCAAAAUUUGCUAUGUCAUAAUUAUU
Molecule: non-coding RNA, 183 nt
Organism: Arachis ipaensis
Lineage: Eukaryota; Viridiplantae; Streptophyta; Magnoliopsida; Fabales; Fabaceae
Source: RefSeq, a predicted model, not a curated record